AAUAAUUUUAUCCGCUUGAUUUAGGAAGUGCACAUAGGUAGGUCAACAUAUUUUGUAGCUCUUUCACAUGUAAAAGCAUAUGUUGCAUAAGAAAUUAUUAUCUUCGAAGCAUACUCACAUUUCACUAACAAAUAGGGGGAGGUUCAGACUUCAGAGCAAUGAUAACAAGGAGGUUCUGUUUGUGACUUUGCAAUCAAUAUUCGUUGAUACGGAGCUCGAUCAAAAAUCACCUAUGAAAAAUAUGCCGUUCUUCUCUACAGGGGUUGAAUGUGGAAUUUGAGGAGAAUCUGUGCACUAGCAUCCGACUCCUUGAUGUUGCUCUGAUCAUAUUGUGUAAAUAUAUUUCUAAUAAAGCAAUCGCCCGAUGGUGUACAUGUUAGAAAUAACAAGAUGUAAUCAUCAAGUGUGAGAGAUGGCAACAUCAUGAUGGGAUGGUAUGUACUGUUGUGCUCAUCAAUAGGUUCGUCUUUCAUUCUCUUGCAGCCAGCAUGUUUUUUGUUAUGCAAACAAUUAGGAAAUAUCUAAUUUCUAUGUACGUCCAAAUAUAUAUAAGUAGUUGUUGUUAGCACUGAAUUUGGAUUUGUUAACGGUCGCUGCAUUUGGUCUAUCUCGAGCCUCUGGCUGUGGAUCAUGUUCUUUUGAUAUCCGCUUGCCAUGAUAUGUUAUCUCUGGUAUGUGUUACCUCUAU
Triticum dicoccoides is the source of this 688-nucleotide long non-coding RNA. RefSeq lists it as uncharacterized. The transcript is spliced from 3 exons. The record is from RefSeq and is a predicted model, not a curated record. Lineage: Eukaryota; Viridiplantae; Streptophyta; Magnoliopsida; Poales; Poaceae.